This 301-nucleotide ribosomal RNA is filed under the name uncultured bacterium. RNAcentral describes it as "partial 16S ribosomal RNA". It matches the Rfam family "Bacterial small subunit ribosomal RNA", at positions 509 to 809 of the family's 1533-position model. The record is from RNAcentral.
CAGCAGCCGCGGUAAUACAGAGGGUGCAAGCGUUAAUUGGAAUUACUGGGCGUAAAGCGCGCGUAGGUGGUUCGCCAAGUUGGAUGUGAAAUCCCCGGGCUCAACCUGGGAACUGCAUCCAAAACUGGCGAGCUAGAGUAUGGUAGAAGGUGGUGGAAUUUCCUGUGUAGCGGUGAAAUGCGUAGAUAUAGGAAGGAACAUCAGUGGCGAAGGCGACCACCUGGACUGAUACUGACACUGAGGUGCGAAAGCGUGGGGAGCAAACAGGAUUAGAUACCCCGGUAGUCCCUGUCUCUUAUAA